This 868-nucleotide long non-coding RNA is filed under the name Salmo salar (Atlantic salmon). Its description in RNAcentral is "lncRNA (ENSSSAG00000091103.1)". The record is from RNAcentral. Lineage: Eukaryota; Metazoa; Chordata; Actinopteri; Salmoniformes; Salmonidae.
CAAAGAGAGAGAGCGAGAGGUAAGUGACAAAGAGAGAGAGCGAGAGGUAAGUGACAAAUACAGAGAGCAAGAGGUAAGAGACAAAGAGAGAGAGCAAGAUGUAAGAGCGAGGGGUAAGAGACAAAGUUAGAUAAAGCGAGCAAGAGGUAAGAGACAAAGCGAGAGAUGAGAGACAAAGGUAAGAGACAAAGAGAGAGAGAGAGCUAAGAGACAAGGAGAGACAGAGCGAGAGGUAAGAGACAAAGAGAGAGAGAGCGAGAGGUAAGAGACAAAGAUAGAUAGAGUGAGAGAGAGCGAGAGGUAAGAGACAAAGCGAGAGAGCGAGAGGUAAGAGACAAAGCGAGAGAGCGAGAGGUCAGAGACAAAGAGAGAGAGCGAGAGGUAAGUGACAAAGAGAGAGAGCGAGAGGUAAGUGACAAAUACAGAGAGCAAGAGGUAAGAGACAAAGAGAGGGAGCAAGAUGUAAGAGAGAGAGAGAGAGAUGUAAGAGAGAGAGAGAGAGGUAAGAGACAAAGAGAGAUAGAGCAAGAGAUAAGAGAAAAAGAGAGAUAGAGCGAGAGGUAAGAGACAAAGGGAGAGAGAGAGGUAAGAGCAAAGGGAGAUUGAGCGACAGGUAAGAGACAAAGGGAGAUAGAGUGAGAGGUAAGACACAAAGAGAGAUAGAGCGAGAGGUAAGAGACAAAGAGAGAGAGCGAGAGGUAAGAGACAAGAGAGAUAGAGCGAGAGGUAAAAGACAAAGACCUAGAGCGAGAGAGAGUGAGAGGUAAGAGACAAGAGAGAGAGACCGAAAGCAAGAGAGAGAGGUAAGAGACAAAGAGAGAUAGAGCAAGAGAGGUAAGAGAAAAAGAGAGAGCGAGAGAGAGGUAAG